This is a long non-coding RNA of Anolis carolinensis (green anole), 425 nucleotides long. RefSeq lists it as uncharacterized. Lineage: Eukaryota; Metazoa; Chordata; Lepidosauria; Squamata; Anolidae. The transcript has 3 exons. The record is from RefSeq and is a predicted model, not a curated record.
CCGAUAUCAACAUGUAGAAUACAUUGUCCCAGCUGGAACGUGAAAUCACACCUGCUAACAAAGGUCCAAGGGCAGCACCUGCAGAACAAAAAGAGAACAAUGCAAAGACUCAGCAAGAAAGCAGGCAAGAGAGGAGCAGCAGCCUGCUAACUGGAUCUCACACUUACAAGAGGAGGAAGGAUUCAUCCCAUUCAUGCUGAAGAAGGCCUCAUCCCCCACUACACUAUAGUAAAGAGUCACCCGGCAAUCCUAAGCACACAGCUGGAAGAUACUCACCAUGGGAGCAGCCAAAACCAACAUCGUACAGCAUGUGGUGGCCCUGCCGCCAGUGUAGUCGGAGAUGAGACCAGCUAAGAUGCCUCCUGCAUGACAAAACCACAUUUCAUUUUCCACAAUGUUUUAAAGUAAAUUGGUUAUUUAAUAGA